RNAcentral lists this transfer RNA (72 nucleotides) under Candidatus Magasanikiibacteriota bacterium. RNAcentral describes it as "tRNA-His". It matches the Rfam family "tRNA". Rfam says of the family: Transfer RNA (tRNA) molecules are approximately 80 nucleotides in length. Their secondary structure includes four short double-helical elements and three loops (D, anti-codon, and T loops). Lineage: Bacteria; Candidatus Magasanikiibacteriota. The record is from RNAcentral.
GUGGCUAUAGUAUAGCGGUUAUUACAUCGGCUUGUGGUGCCGAUUAUCUGGGUUCGAUUCCCAGUAGCCACC